UACUUUUUUCGUGUUCUUGACCUUGAUUCCAUGACAUUUAUGCCCGCGUGGCGAGGCUUUGAUAUCGAGAAUUGGGAGAUCAUGGGUUCUCACAUCUGCCCUGACAAAACUCACGUCGUGUACACCGGUUCUCAUGUAACUAGCGAAAUCGUCUACGCGGAUUUUAAUGGCAACCGUCUUCGUUCUAUUCAACCCGACGAGCAUCUCAACAUCCACAGUAUAAACUUCAGUGCCAACGGCAGAUAUAUCUACUAUAUGAGCGACGAAUCCAUCGCCUUUGUCAGCUCUUUCCACACUUCAGAUUAAGAUUACAAGAUGUGACAUAUUUUCACGGCAUCGUGCACCGCUCUUCGCGGCAGGAGAAAGAUCGUCUGGAACACACACAUUAUCUGACCCGCGCGCGCACCGUUGACAUGGUAACGGUGGUAACGAUUGCAGAUGACAACAACCUCAGGGUGUGGGCUCGAUCCCGGGACAAAAAGAGGACCACAGAUCGGCGGGCCAGGACGCUCGCGCCAAUAGAAAGGAUAGAGACGUGUUCCACUGGGCCACCAGGAUGCGUUGUUCGUGACCGGCAGUGCGGGAGAGGACUCGCCGAACAUAGUCGGCGUGUAUGAUGUCGGCAGACUGGAAUACCGCGCCAUCCGAGAACUUGUUAUACGACGGUUUUUAUUUCGCUCUUUGCUAAUUGUAUGUGUAUUGCUCCCAUUUGCUUCAAUGCAUUUCGACAACAUAUAAUGAUGACGUCUAUAUGAGCCCCGUUCUGUGAAAAGCAGGGUUCAUUCACGUGCGUAAAUUGUCGUCCCAGAUUAGCCUGUGCAGUCCACACAAGCUAAUCAGGAACGACACUUUCCACGUUUGUUGAAUUUUUUCGUUAGAAUAAAGUCUCUUUUAAACGAAAUUUCAGUGUGGAAACGGUCGUCCCUGAUUAGCCUCUGCGGACUGCACACUCUACGCAAUGCGUUAAGCCCAGUCUUUCCCAGAACGCGGCUCAUAUAAAUAAUCCAUUAAUUACAGUUUUGUUUUCAAAUAGUUUGUAUUGAGUUUCUUUUAUGUUAUAAUUCUUUCUACACUUAAAACGUCCAUAUUUUUGUAAAAUGUUGCAUUCCCCCUGAAAAUUAUUCGAUACUUAAGAUACGUUCAUGAUUAAUUUGAUUACAAAACAGUCCAAUUAAGUAAACUUUUCAAAAAAUAACAAAAUAUCGUGCGUCAUACUUGCAAGCGUUAUAUUCAUCAGUAGGUGGCCUGCAAUGCAAACAUGAGGUUUUACGAAGCAGACAACAGAUCAGUGGUCAUGGAAAUUUACGAUAAGUUUUACUUGUUUGACCUUGAAAAGAUGGACGUCAGCAUCGUGUUUCCGGGUCGAGUAGUCGAUACACGAGUGUGUAUCUUGACCAAACGGAAGCGUACGUACAAUUCUAAUUUACAUUUUACAAUUCAUGUGUGGAGGUGGCAGUAUUCACAACAUAGUUAUUAAAUAUUCCGGUCAUGGUGUGUCAUUACUAUUCCGCGUCACUAAGAAAUCAAAUUCAUGAUUUAAAGAUUUUGCUAACUGAACGAUUUGGGUCAGAACGUGUUAGAAACCGUUCCGCCCACUGUAUCUCUGUCAAUGACGUCAUUCUUCCAUUGUAAAACUCCUCGUGGCGUCACGUUUUGGCAAGAACGUGAAACGGUACAACAUCACAAACGGCUGCAUUGACGCCAUAAUAAAAACUGGACACAAGAAGGAGAUCUACCAAGUUGUGGUUAACGAUCCGGGAACGCUCGCUGCAGUGACGGUAGUUUUUGGACCUGUAUUGUUGAUGGACCUUGUCACUCACUCUCGCGUGUAUGAGAUCUCAAACAGUACGUUCAGGAGAUGCGAACGUAUCUUUACCUCUCAAAAUUAAACAUACGUUGGAAUUUCGCGGCAUAUAUCGUACAAUAUAUUUCAAUGUUAACGGCGUUUCUUUUUCUGUGUACGCAUUGCAUACUAGCAUAACAUAU
Long non-coding RNA from Dreissena polymorpha, 1986 nucleotides. RefSeq lists it as uncharacterized. The record is from RefSeq and is a predicted model, not a curated record. NCBI's taxonomy places the organism in Eukaryota, Metazoa, Mollusca, Bivalvia, Myida, Dreissenidae. The transcript is spliced from 5 exons.